AUUGAACGCUGGCGGCAGGCCUAACACAUGCAAGUCGCACGAGUGGCGGACGGGUGAGUAAUGUCUGGGAAACUGCCUGAUGGAGGGGGCUAACUACUGGAAACGGUAGCUAAUACCGCAUACCAUCAGAUGUGCCCCGAUGGGAUGAGCUUGUUGGUGGGGUAACGGCUCACCAAGGCGACGAGCCCUAGCUGGUCUGCAAGGAUGACAAGCCACCAUGGAACUGAGACACGGUCCAGACUCCUACGGGAGGCAGCAUUGGGGAAGAUUGCACAAUGGGCGCAAGCCUGAUGCAGCCAGUCCGCGGGUAUGAAGAAGGCCUUCGGGUUGUAAAGUACUUUCAGCGGGGAGGCGUGACCCGCAGAAGAAGCACCGGCUAACUCCGUGCCAGCAGACGCGGUAAUUC
This 406-nucleotide ribosomal RNA is filed under the name uncultured bacterium. Its description in RNAcentral is "partial 16S ribosomal RNA". It matches the Rfam family "Bacterial small subunit ribosomal RNA", at positions 30 to 526 of the family's 1533-position model. The record is from RNAcentral.